This 85-nucleotide transfer RNA is filed under the name Deltaproteobacteria bacterium. Its description in RNAcentral is "tRNA-Leu". It matches the Rfam family "tRNA". From Rfam's summary of the family: Transfer RNA (tRNA) molecules are approximately 80 nucleotides in length. Their secondary structure includes four short double-helical elements and three loops (D, anti-codon, and T loops). Lineage: Bacteria; Pseudomonadati; Myxococcota; Myxococcia. The record is from RNAcentral.
GCGAGAGUGGCGGAACGGUAUACGCACCGGUCUUAGGAGCCGGCGGCCUUAGGCUAUAGGGGUUCAAAUCCCCUCUCUCGCACCA